AUUGGUUUUCGCUUUCUCUUCUAUAAAAGGAGAGAAAGACACCAAACUCCUCUCCAUUAAUCUUCUUUCAGAUUUCACCUUACCCACAACAUUCAUGGCUUCCAUCAACAUUUCUUUCCCUUCAACAACAUUUCACAGUCGAUCACAAGCGAACUUCAAGUUGUUCAGUGGGUUGCAUUCUGGAGAUGUAGUUUCUCUUAAUGGGGUCUCGUCAGGGUCAUUCAUACGGCUUAAUGCUAGACCACACUUAACCAUCAAGAGUGAUUUCAAGAUUACUUCUGCAUUGUUAUCUGGUGAAGGAGACAUCCGAUUUCAAUCCAGGGGAGAAAAAACUCUGUUUAGUAGCCUCUCUACAGGAACUGAGACUCAACCUGAUGCUGUAACCUUUGCAACGCUAGAAGCAGAUGGUGUUCCUACAACUAGUGGUUUUCUUUCAGAUGACGAUGAAUGUGAUUUGGAUCGACCGACCGAAGGUUUUUCAUCUGUUCCUGAGGCUAUUGAGGACAUUCGCCAAGGAAAGAUGGUGCUAGUUACAGAUGAUGAAGACAGAGAAAAUGA
RNAcentral lists this unclassified non-coding RNA (558 nucleotides) under Hevea brasiliensis (rubber tree). The record is from RNAcentral. Lineage: Eukaryota; Viridiplantae; Streptophyta; Magnoliopsida; Malpighiales; Euphorbiaceae.